GAGCAACUACAUCAGUGAUUAAAAGCCCAUGUCUGUUGAGCUUUUUUAUUUUGCAUCAGACUCUUAAUAGAGUUUUACAUAUGAAAAUGUUAACUGAUUUACUCUUCAUGUGACCUUUGGAGGUAGAUACUAUGGUCAUUAUCCCUGUUUCACAGAUGAGGAAACUGAGGCUUCCCUGGUGGCUCAGACGGUAAAGCGUCUGCCUGCAGUGUGGGAGACCCCGGUUUGACCCCUGGGUUGGGAAGAUCCCCUGGGAGGAAAUGGCAACCCACUCCAGUACUCUUGCCUGGAAAAUUCCGUGGACUAAGGAGCCUGGUCGCAAAGAGUCGGACACGACUGAGUGACUUCACUUCAACUGAGGCUGGAGUGCCUGGUGCCAGAAGAGUAGCAGGCCCAGGAUUAAAGCCCAGAUGGACUGAUCCCUGGGCCCCUGCACUUGAACACCGCAGUGUUGCCAGGACCCUGGGCCAGGAAGUCAUUUAACAUUUCGGUGCCUCAAGUCUCCCCACGGGUGAACACCGAGCUGUUCUGAGAUGGCAAAUGAAAACACCCAGCACAGGACCUGGAAAGCGGCGGCGGCGUCGAGGGUUUUCAGUGAGGGCUAAUUCUGCUAAUUCCACCGCCCCCUGUCUAGCCCACGAGUCUCCGGAAAGAACCCUGAGGGGCCCCUUAGGACCGCCGGCAGCCUGGGGCGCACCCCUCCCCACACACACACACAGGGCCGAUGUGGAUUAGUUUUGAAAGAACGUCCUUACAAGAGACUGUUCUUGCCCAGCCAAGACGUGAGCUCUCUUUAAUCUACACGCCUGAUCACACGGCUGGACUCGGCCAAGCCCUCUUCGCGUCCACACAGCGGGGGCUGACCGGAGCCCCUCAGCCUAGCCCCAGCGCGGGAGGCCCGCGAGAGCGGCGUGCGCAUGCGUCAGGCCCAACCAUCGCCUCAGGUGCUGCCUCACGGCUGCUGGGGGGCGGGGACGGUAAGCGGCUCCCCGAGGGAGGCGGAGCCCAGCCAGAGCUUUCCCACCGCCUUGGGGCAGGUGGGCGAGCACGUGGGGCGGGGGCGCCAAGGUGACUGUGGCUUAGGCAUGGGUUUGUUUUUUUUUUAAUUAUUUACCUUCUCGUUUUAUUUCUUUUCGGCCGCACUGAGUCUUCGUUGUUCUGCGGCCUUUGUCUCGUUACUGCGAGUGGGGCCCGCGCUCUAGUCGCGCUGCAGGGAGGUCCGUGCCUCCCCUUGUUGUGGGGCGGGAUCUCUGUGAUUGCAGCUCGCGGGACUCAGCGGCCCCGGACACGUGGGAGCUCCGGACCAGGAAUCGAACCUCUGUCCCCUGCAUCGGCAGGCUUCCUCGCAACCACUGGACCUGGGCAUGGGACUUAAUCUUUGAGGGCCACAGUUUUCUCCUCAGAAAAGGGGGCUUGAUAACAGAAAUGCAGUUGAAACUCCAUGUAGGUGAUGCCUCAUGGGCAUAUCAUGGCCGCUCAUUGAAUGGUAGCUAUUAGCAGUAGUGGGUCUAUCCUUUCAAAUAAUAUGCAAUAAAUAGGAGGAGUGGCUCUAGCCAUUAAUGAGUUUAAUGCUGUGAUAUCUUGAGCUACUGCAAAUCCAGUAUAUAAUAUCUGAUAAACAGUAAGUUAUAUCAGUAAAUUUCCAAAUCCAGCAAUAAUAUUGAAUAAAAUAUCCAUAACUAAGAAUUGGUGUAUUCAUUCAAAUAAUAUCUAAUAAAUAAGUAGGGAUAAUAAUUAUAUCCACUAAAAUAAUUUUAAUACCAUUAUCAUGGGCUAUUGUGAAUCCAGUAGCCAGUAAAUAAUACCCACUGAAAUAAAGAGUAGCAAUGAUAUUCAUUAAAGCAAUUUUUAGAGUUUAUUUUAUUUUUGGCUGUGCUAGCCUAGGGCUUCGGAGAAGGCAAUGGCACCCCACUCCAGUACUCUUGCCUGGAAAAUCCCAUGGAUGGAGGAGCCUGGUAGGCUGCAGUCCAUGGGGUCGCUAAGAGUCGGAUACGACCGAGCGACUUCACUUUCACUUUCAUGCAUUGGAGAAGGAAAUGGCAACCCACUCCAGUGUUCUUGCCUGGAGAAUCCUAGGGACGGCGGAGCCUGGUGG
Long non-coding RNA from Bos taurus (domestic cattle), 2095 nucleotides. NCBI's taxonomy places the organism in Eukaryota, Metazoa, Chordata, Mammalia, Artiodactyla, Bovidae. The record is from Ensembl.